UACAGAGGGGGCAAGCGUUGUUCGGAAUUACUGGGCGUAAAGGGCGCGUAGGCGGCCUUCUAAGUCAGACGUGAAAUCCCUCGGCUCAACCGGGGAACUGCGUCUGAGACUGGAAGGCUUGAAUCCGGGAGAGGGAUGUGGAAUUCCAGGUGUAGUGGUGAAAUGCGUAGAUAUCUGGAGGAACACCGGUGGCGAAGGCGGCAUCCUGGACGAUAACUGACGCUGAGACGCGAAAGCGUGGGGAGCAAACAGG
Molecule: ribosomal RNA, 253 nt
Filed under: uncultured bacterium
Lineage: Bacteria
Description: partial 16S ribosomal RNA
Rfam family: Bacterial small subunit ribosomal RNA
Source: RNAcentral